RNAcentral lists this ribosomal RNA (465 nucleotides) under Vreelandella stevensii. Its description in RNAcentral is "partial 16S ribosomal RNA". It matches the Rfam family "Bacterial small subunit ribosomal RNA", at positions 338 to 795 of the family's 1533-position model. The record is from RNAcentral. Lineage: Bacteria; Pseudomonadati; Pseudomonadota; Gammaproteobacteria; Oceanospirillales; Halomonadaceae.
CCUACGGGGGGCUGCAGUGGGGAAUAUUGGACAAUGGGCGAAAGCCUGAUCCAGCCAUGCCGCGUGUGUGAAGAAGGCCUUCGGGUUGUAAAGCACUUUCAGUGGGGAAGAAAGCCUUGGGGCUAAUACCCUCGAGGAAGGACAUCACCCACAGAAGAAGCACCGGCUAACUCCGUGCCAGCAGCCGUGGUAAUACGGAGGGUGCGAGCGUUAAUCGGAAUUACUGGGCGUAAAGCGCGCGUAGGCGGUCUGAUAAGCCGGUUGUGAAAGCCCCGGGCUCAACCUGGGAACGGCAUCCGGAACUGUCAGGCUAGAGUGCAGGAGAGGAAGGUAGAAUUCCCGGUGUAGCGGUGAAAUGCGUAGAGAUCGGGAGGAAUACCAGGGGCGAAGGCGGCCUUCUGGACUGACACUGACGCUGAGGUGCGAAAGCGUGGGUAGCAAACAGGAUUAGAUACCCCAGUAGUC